Molecule: ribosomal RNA, 253 nt
Filed under: uncultured bacterium
Lineage: Bacteria
Description: partial 16S ribosomal RNA
Rfam family: Bacterial small subunit ribosomal RNA
Source: RNAcentral
UACAGAGGUCCCAAGCGUUGUUCGGAUUCACUGGGCGUAAAGGGUGCGUAGGCGGUCGGGUAAGUCUGGCGUGAAAUCUCCAAGCCUAACUUGGAAACUGCGUUGGAUACUAUCCGGCUCGAGGAAUGGAGGGGAGACUGGAAUACUUGGUGUAGCAGUGAAAUGCGUAGAGAUCGGGAGGAACACCAGUGGCGAAGGCGGCCUUCUGGACCAAUACUGACGCUCAUGCACGAAAGCGUGGGGAGCAAACAGG